GACGAACGCUGGCGGCGUGCUUAACACAGAAUGAAGAAACGAGUGGCGAAAGGGUGAGUAACGCGUAAUAAACCUGCCCUUCAGAGGGGGACAACAGGUGGAAACGAAUGCUAAUACCUAAUACUGUGAGAGAGCUUUGCGUCACGUUAGCGAGUUGGAGAUGUAACGGCUCACCAAGGCGAUGAUGGAUAGCCUGCCUGAGAGGGUGAUCGGCCCAAAGGGGACUGAGAUACGGCCCUUACUCCUACGGGAGGCAGCAGUGGGGAAUAGUGGACAAUGGACCAAAGUCUGAUCCAGGAAUUCUGUGUGCAAGAUGAAGUUGUCGGAAUGUAAAGUGCUUUCAGUUGGGAAGCGGUACCAACAGAAGAAGUGACGGCUAAAUACGUGCCAGCAGCCGCGGUAAUAC
RNAcentral lists this ribosomal RNA (406 nucleotides) under uncultured bacterium. RNAcentral describes it as "partial 16S ribosomal RNA". It matches the Rfam family "Bacterial small subunit ribosomal RNA", at positions 28 to 526 of the family's 1533-position model. The record is from RNAcentral.